Molecule: non-coding RNA, 86 nt
Filed under: Salinisphaera hydrothermalis
Lineage: Bacteria; Pseudomonadati; Pseudomonadota; Gammaproteobacteria; Salinisphaerales; Salinisphaeraceae
Description: Glycine sequence
Rfam family: Glycine riboswitch aptamer
About the family: This family represents the bacterial glycine riboswitch. Glycine riboswitches usually consist of two metabolite-binding aptamers domains with similar structures in tandem.
Source: RNAcentral
GCAAAACGCGUGGGAGAGAGCGGGGAACCCCCGCCGCCGAAGGCGCAAUUCCGCCCGGAAACGCUCAGGCCACAGGACCACGCACG